RNAcentral lists this ribosomal RNA (274 nucleotides) under uncultured bacterium. Its description in RNAcentral is "partial 16S ribosomal RNA". It matches the Rfam family "Bacterial small subunit ribosomal RNA", at positions 523 to 796 of the family's 1533-position model. The record is from RNAcentral.
AUACGGAGGGUGCAAGCGUUACUCGGAAUCACUGGGCGUAAAGCGCGCGCAGGCGGCUAUUUAAGUUGGAUGUGAAAGCCUAUGGCUCAACCAUAGAACUGCAUCCAAAACUAUUUAGCUAGAGUGUGGGAGAGGAAGAUGGAAUUAGUCGUGUAGGGGUAAAAUCCGUAGAGAUAACUAGGAAUACCAAAAGCGAAGGCAAUCUUCUGGAACACUACUGACGCUGAGGCGCGAAAGCGUGGGGAGCAAACAGGAUUAGAAACCCUAGUAGUCC